GAUGAACGCUGGCGGCGUGCCUAAUACAUGCAAGUCGAGCGAACAGACGAGGAGCUUGCUCCUCUGACGUUAGCGGCGGACGGGUGAGUAACACGUGGAUAACCUACCUAUAAGACUGGGAUAACUUCGGGAAACCGGAGCUAAUACCGGAUAACAUGUUGAACCGCAUGGUUUAACAGUGAAAGACGGUCUUGCUGUCACUUAUAGAUGGAUCCGCGCCGCAUUAGCUAGUUGGUAAGGUAACGGCUUACCAAGGCAACGAUGCGUAGCCGACCUGAGAGGGUUAUCGGCCAAACUGGAACUGAGACACGGUCCAGACUCCUACGGGAGGCAGCAGUAGGGAAUCUUUCGGAAUGGGCGGAAGCCUGACGGGACAACGCCGCGUGAGUGAAGAAGGUCUUCGGAUCGUAAAACUCUGUUAUUAGGGAAGAACAAAUUUUUAAGUAACUAUGCACGUCUUGACCGUACCUAAUCAGAAAACCACCGCUAACUUCGUG
RNAcentral lists this ribosomal RNA (497 nucleotides) under uncultured bacterium. RNAcentral describes it as "partial 16S ribosomal RNA". It matches the Rfam family "Bacterial small subunit ribosomal RNA", at positions 28 to 507 of the family's 1533-position model. The record is from RNAcentral.